CCUACGGGAGGCAGCAGUGGGGAAUAUUGGACAAUGGGGGGAACCCUGAUCCAGCCAUGCCGCGUGUGUGAAGAAGGCCCUCGGGUUGUAAAGCACUUUCAGUGAGGAAGAACGCCUGGUGGUUAAUACCCAUCAGGAAAGACAUCACUCACAGAAGAAGCACCGGCUAACUCCGUGCCAGCAGCCGCGGUAAUACGGAGGGUGCGAGCGUUAAUCGGAAUUACUGGGCGUAAAGCGCGCGUAGGUGGCUUGAUAAGCCGGUUGUGAAAGCCCCGGGCUCAACCUGGGAACGGCAUCCGGAACUGUCAAGCUAGAGUGCAGGAGAGGAAGGUAGAAUUCCCGGUGUAGCGGUGAAAUGCGUAGAGAUCGGGAGGAAUACCAGUGGCGAAGGCGGCCUUCUGGACUGACACUGACACUGAGGUGCGAAAGCGUGGGUAGCAAACAGGAUUAGAACCCCUGUAGUC
Molecule: ribosomal RNA, 464 nt
Filed under: Vreelandella stevensii
Lineage: Bacteria; Pseudomonadati; Pseudomonadota; Gammaproteobacteria; Oceanospirillales; Halomonadaceae
Description: partial 16S ribosomal RNA
Rfam family: Bacterial small subunit ribosomal RNA
Source: RNAcentral